This 616-nucleotide long non-coding RNA is filed under the name Phasianus colchicus (ring-necked pheasant). RNAcentral's name for it is "lncRNA (ENSPCLG00000009704.1)". Lineage: Eukaryota; Metazoa; Chordata; Aves; Galliformes; Phasianidae. The record is from RNAcentral.
UUUUGGUGUUAAUGGCUUUUCUUUCCCAAUGGCAAUCUGACCUGAUAUUCUGUUUGUCCCACAGCACAGCGCAGCCCCUGACAGCUUCACUUGGGUUGCAGAAGGGCUGGAGGUCUUCAGCAGGGCACCUUUGGUUUGCUCGGAGGACUGCCUGGUACCCAGCUGCAUGGGGUGAAGGAGGUUUGUGCACCUGAUACCAAUACAGGCCCUCCCUUUCCCACGUUUGGGCUUUUGCACUUCAGCAGAACAGCACAGGUCAAGUGUGUUUUACUGGGAAAACAGUGGGAAGGAGCAAAAUGUGGGAGCCUGGAGCAAGGAGGGUUUCCCUGGCAUUUGAAAACAGAUGGAUUUUUUUUAGGAAGAUUCCCAUCCCAUCCCACUGUGCUCACUGCCCGCAUCCCUCAGUGCCACAUCCCGGUGGCUCUGAACCACCCCCAGGGAUGGUGACCCUCCUCCUCCCUGGGCAGCUGUAUGGCAACUGCUGAAUCACAGCCUGAACCUGUGAUUGAUCACCUGGGGUGAGCACUGAGUCAGCCCUGGGAGCACAGCUGAAGGCAAUUCACCUGUACUGCUGGAAGGGGUGGAGCCUGGCUGCACCUCUCCUACACCCAUUUAA